UUGUAGGCUGCAACCUGCCUACAUGAAGUUGGAAUUGCUAGUAAUCGCAGAUCAGAAUGCUGCGGUGAAUACGUUCCCGGGCCUUGUACACACCGCCCGUCACACCAUGGGAGCCGGUAAUACCCGAAGUCAGUAGUCUAACCGCAAGGGGGACGCUGCCGAAGGUAGGAUUGGCGACUGGGGUGAAGUCGUAACAAGGUAAC
Molecule: ribosomal RNA, 203 nt
Filed under: uncultured bacterium
Lineage: Bacteria
Description: partial 16S ribosomal RNA
Rfam family: Bacterial small subunit ribosomal RNA
Source: RNAcentral